Tachysurus fulvidraco (yellow catfish) is the source of this 6379-nucleotide long non-coding RNA. RefSeq lists it as uncharacterized. Lineage: Eukaryota; Metazoa; Chordata; Actinopteri; Siluriformes; Bagridae. The transcript is spliced from 3 exons. The record is from RefSeq and is a predicted model, not a curated record.
GAGAGAGGUAUAGUUGUUGGAGGGGGCGUUUCCCCGGUAUGGCUAUUAUGUGUUCUUUCUGUAGUCUUCCUCCAGAUUUCUGCCGCCUCCUUCUUCUUCUCAGCUGUUUACCCCCGUUGGCAGGAUUUAACACCGAGGGACCUCGGAAUUUGUUUCCAAAUCUUUCUUCCUGCCCUCCCACCAUCUAGAGGAGCCUUGAGAGCAACGAGAGAUGAAACAAAGAAAAACAGAGAGUGAAAGAGAGAAAAGGCGAAAAAUAGGUGGAAGAGGGCGGUGGCCCCUGUUUGUGCUCCUGUCUCGAUUACGGGUAUUCUUGGGUUGAUAAUACAGAUGUCGAUGUUAUUGCUUGAGAAUACGCGUAGCUGAGUGGAAGCCAUAUUCAUCUGAUGCCUACGGUGGAAUAAAUCAAAUAACACAGCCAAGGAAAUUAAAGAGAUAAGAAGCAUGAUGGUGUUCUCUUGUGUAUCAUGGGGCAACGGGUGCUGCAGAAUGGGAGGUGAUUGGCAACUGUGACAACGAGGAGGGAGUGACUUUUGACCUCCUUCUCUGGCAAGGAAAGAAAUAGGAGGGACAGUGUGAGCGAGAGAAGGGGGAAACAGCACAACAAUCAAUAGUAUAAAUAUUCAUUCAAUAGAGCCUCUUUUCACCUCAUUGCAAAAACUCUCUCACUCAUCAUGCAGAGGAAUACACACAAACAUACGUUCAUUUGUGUGUACAGAGCAACACUCAGAUGUGCAGAUGUGCCUCAUCAUACAUGCGUAAUCGAAUAGUACAACACUCUGUUGCAGACACUCGCUCUCUGACAUGCACACUCAGCAGAGCCUUGGUGAAAUGUGUAGCCUUGUUCUACCACUUUCUCAAUCUCUCUCACACUCACACAGCAUUUCCUCCUUCGCCGCUCCUGUCUACACAUAUACAUGACAUCUCUCUCUCUCUCUCUCUCUCUCUCUCUCUCUCUCUGCAUGGCUAAACUAAUAAGGAUGUGAUUAACAGUAUUGUAAUUGGCCUGUAAUCAGUGUUAAUUAGCAGUGAGAUACUGCAGCAGAACAGAACAGUUGCAACGUCUCAGCAUCUCAGUAACUUUCCCCUUACCGCAUCACCUUAUCCUGAACAACCUGUGUGCCUCCGUACUCUUCUGUAUACUGUAACCAUGUUCGGCGUGUACAUGUGUUUUUCUUUGACAAGAAAAAUGACACGUUUUGAAACUAUACCGAAUAUGUAAUAUAUAAAUACUGUAUAUCUAUAAUAACAUUGUACAUACUGUAUGUAAGUAUUAAACAUGUCAGAAUGUGCUGUUAUAGGAAAAUAAACAAAGAUGAGGUUGUGUGAUUUGAAGUGGCAAUGAUUUUUUUUAAUGCAAAUUGUCAUAAUUGUAAACAUUUACAGCUCCAAUUGAUGCAGUGAAACGUUAAGUUAGGUUAUGUGGUGUGAACGAACAAGUCCCUGUGCAUGAGCUGUUACUAUAGGAAUGAUAAGAUAUUAAACAAGCGAGUUAAUACAAAGCUUUCGUUUGAAUUACAGCUGAUUUUACCAUCAGAAUUCAUCAACACCUUACUACAAAUCAGAUUAGACAGUGCUGUGGCGUUGUCAGAAAUAACUCCGUCCUCAAGGCACAAUACAGUAAUAAGAGUUUACUGUCUAUAAAGUGCAACAGAUGGCAGAGUUUGUGCAGCAAGCCUUUUUACAGUUGGCAACAGGGUUUGACAAUAACACACGCUAAAGCACACAUCAUCUGUAGUUUCAGGUGUAAUAUAAUAAAAUAUAUUACAGUCACAGUGUACAACAGAAUAAUCAUGUACUAUCUCCUGAAAUAAUACUUACCCAAAUAUGAACUCAUAAUGAGUUACCUUCAGUAACAGCUCAGGUAUUAGUGCAUGAUUAUUCAUGUACUGUUAUUUUAAAUGACCACAAAUAAAACAAAACCACCACAACAACCUUGCUCGUCCAUGGAGAAAUGGCUCUAUGUUAUUCAAGUAACUUCUCAGACAAAAAAAUGAAUCCUGGCUGUGAGGGAUUACUUUAAAAACAGCAGAAAGAAGUCUGACAAAUCUUACAGUAAGCCUGUGCUAGGUUCUACAAACUAAACUAAUAAUACCAACUACACAAAAUGUAGACCGCUGAUCCAUUUUAAAUUGUUAUCAUAGCAAAUAUUGGCACUCGGGUCUCCAGCACCGAACCUUUAUUUCAUGAUUGAUGGAAUUUAUGUUAAAACUAUAACGAAUGAUGCUCAAAGGUUGCCCUAAAGCCCAUGGUUGCAUAAUUGCACUCGACUAUACAUAGUUCAUAUUUACCCAGAGAGUCACCCAGAUGAGGAUGAAUUUCCUCUCAUAGGUUUCUUCCUCAUAUCGUCUCAAAGGAUUUUUUUUGCUACAGUUGUCUAUGGCUUAUGCCAGGAUUAGCAAUAGAUAUAAAUAAAAAUUUCAAUAAAAAUUUCAUUCUGAUUUCUAACAUUCCUAUAAAACUGCAUUGUGACAACGUCCAUUGUUAAAAAACAACAUUCAAUUUGAGUUUAGUACUGUUUAGUGCUUUUUAUAGAUGCUUGUCUUCAUGUGUAAUUGCAUCAUCUUUGAAGUGUGUGUGUACAGUAUGUGUGUGUGUGUGUGUGUGUGUGUGUGUGUGUGUGUGUGUGUGUGUGUGUGUGUGUGUGUGUGUGUGUGUGUACAUAUAUUUCAUCAUUUCAUUAUGAAUGCAGUGUAGUUACAGUUAUGAGAAUUUAUGUAAAGUAUUUCAAAUAUAGUAUGCAAUAAGAUGCAAGAUGUCUCUGCUAAGCUAAACUAACAGCUAACAGAUGUUUGUCUGCAGGACUGAAGGCUGUAGAAGAUGAAUUCAAGCACUGUGUAAAAUCUGCUUCGUUACACGUGGUUUCUUUUCUAAGCUUGUACACAGUAAACCGUGCAUCACUUCUUCCACGCUGAGACAGGACUGACAGAUGUGUGCUGGCUGGCUGUGCAGGAUGGAGAGAGCAGGCAGGUAGGGCCCUCUGACAGGUGUUAUGUGCCACAUCUGGCCAAAGGUCCCUGAGCACGAACGUCUUCUGUCAUUCCACCUAGCAGUCAGCCUCGUCACUCAUGCAUCACGCUGCAUGACGGCUCUCCGCCAAGACAGAUGUUAUAGUCAGACAGUUCAUUUUCCUGCUACCUUCUGGUCUUAAAUGAAAUAAAUACAGCUGGUAGGCUCUGUUAUUAAUUAAUCAUUAGAAAUGAAUUUAGGCUCUAUUAUGCAGCAAGCUGAAAGCAAAUAUAUUGUGUAUAAAAUGUUUAGCGCAAUGCAGCUUUGCACAGACAUUUCCAUUCGAUGCCUCGCCUUAACUGUUUAUUUACCGUAAUGCUCUGCUAUUCAGAAUGUUAUUUAUAUAGAUGCUGAAGAAGAUGUGAACGCAAGUGCAGCUAAACCGUGAUGACGAAAAAAGAGUAAAAAUGUGUAAGAGACAAAAGAGGGAAGAGAAGGAAAAUAUUCAACUUCAUUAUAUAAAGGUGAGGAAAGGAAAAUGUGCAGAAACAUUUGAACAUAUUUUAAAAUAAUACUGUAAUCAUAGUCAGAACAUCAGCAAUACUGAAUUGUUCUCAAGAAUAAAAUGAAGGUGAUUAAGCUUUUUUAAAUGAAAAAAAAAACAUGUUUUUUCCUUGUAUUUGCCUGAGAAAAAGCACAAAGUCCUCCUGCACAAAUUCUUGCACAAGGAUUUAUAGUAGGAGGCUCAUUGUAUGCAUUUAAAUGCACGAGUUGCCCUUCAUGACUGUUUAUUGUUUAUCCGAGAGAGGAGAGGGCAUAAUUACUGCAGAAUAGAUGUAGAUGUGUAAAGUGUCAUGAGCAGAAGGGGAGAUUUUGUGCUCUGUGUAGGUGUUUUAUGGCACAAUGCUAUGCAAAGCACUAUCAACAAAAACACCCCAUGCUGAUUUACACUCCUACACACACACAGACACAGUCCAGGCUUAUACAGGACUGUCAUGCAGGAAUUAAAACUAGAUAACACUGGAUUCUUUUUUUUUUUUUAAUAAAUAGGUAUGAACAAAAAUGCAUUUUAAGGGGUGUGAUUCUAAUGUGAAGUGGCAGUUAGCAAAUCUGUUUUCACACUAAAAUAAUGAGCCUGGUUGUUAUGUGAUGUUCCGGCUACAUUAGACUUUAGAACUGUGCUGCCACAGGGCUUAUCACACAAACAUGAUUCCUGUUAUGCAAGUUAUUGGCAAGCUGAUUUCUGUAACUCCCAUAUCUGACAAUACCGCCCCCUGGUGGUCAUGAAUUCCUCUGCAGGGCAGGUUUUUUUCUUCAUUAAACACCAUUUGUAAGCUCAAUAUACUUAUUUUAAUACGUUAGGCUGUAACAUUACAAAAUACCAUCUUGGAUUUUAAUAAUCUGGCAGCAAUGAUUAAAAAAAAGUCAAAAUCGUUAGCUGUGACUUUUGAUGUUACUAUGAUUAAAUAAUUAAACAGUAUAUUACAAUCUAGUACAUUCACACAUAAUAUGGUAUACUGUCUCAGAAUGAGUCUUAUAUUUGACCUUUGUAAGCCAUAAAAUUGUCCUCCUCUAUAUUCAUAAUAUAAAAUUCAUAAGCAACAACUGUGUAUGUCUGUUUGCAAUGCAUUUCCUUUUUUUUCUUCUUUUUUGUAAAUACAUCAAACAUGGCAGAUAUUACAAAUGACAGAUGGUUGUAUAUAUGCUUAUAGCUGUUAUUCAUAUCGAUCAUGUGGAUUGGGUGAAGUUAUGAAAGUUAUAAAGAAUUGGGAAGGUAAUGAAGUUAUGAAAUCAUUAUUUGAUUCCUGCCGAAAAUGAAAAAUGAAUAUCGGAUAAGCCUGUAUUUGACUAUGCAGUCUUGACAAAUUUCAUGAAAGUAAAGGAAGCAGUGGCAGUGAAUUAAUAACUAUAUGUCAUUUCAAAAGAACCUUUUGACAUCCCUUCCCCUUCGCUUUUUAAAAGGCUAUAAAUAAAAAUAAAGGUCUUUAAUAGCAAACUGUGCCGCACACUUAGCAAGGGUCUUGAGGAGGCACUGAACCUGCCAGACAUCUUGCAAUUACAAGCAGGACAAGUGCAUGUUAGCAGGAAUCUGCCAAAUAAAGAAAUGACCUUAAAUCUCAGAGACGGACAUUCAGCUGUUUUAAAAGGCAUUCUAAGAAAUGUUUGAGGUCAACGAAAGACUCCCUUCAGUACCUCUUUUUCAUAGAAAAAGCAAUAAGAACCAUUCAUUAUAGAGACACAACUAAUAAAUGGGUUCAUGCAGGAAAGGGAAUAUCUUAGGCCUGUGUAUGGACAAACAGUAAACUAAAAGAAAGAAUCAUUACUUUUCACAGCGUUUAGCCUGCUGCUACACCUGAUGGAAGUAUAUCUCUUUUUUGUAAACACACUAUAAGGCAUAAUCUUUGUAAAAAUGUCAGACAAUUCACUUUGUCACUUUGUCACUGUGCCUUAGGCAUAAAAUAUUAAACAACUAUAAAAUAUAUCCUAAAGCAUUACCAGACUAGGUUAAAAAAACAAAAAACAUGACUUUAUGACUGCUGUAUUCAUGAUACAAACAAAGAAAAAUUCUGUUUAUUCUGUUUAAACACGUCUAAAUCUAUUAUAUCGAUGUCUAUGUACACAGCAGGGCAUGUGGGGCAUUGCAGCAAAGAAACAAAAUAAAAUCAUUGAUACAAAGCUGUGUGUAUGUUUCUUCUUCUUCUUCCUAUUAUUAUUAUUAUUAUUAUUAUUAUUAUUAGUGUAUUACUUAAUAUUAAGUUAUCCAUGAUCUCAGUGACCGUGGUAUGGUUGUUCGUGCCACAAAGAUUUAAAUGGCUACAAGGCAGAAAUGGCUUGCUGUUAAGAGGUCAGAGAAGAAUGGUCAGACUGGUUCAAGCUGACAGAAAGGCUUUGGUAACACAAAUAACCUGUCUUUACAACUAUGGCUAACAGAAAAACAUCUCAGAAUGCACAACACAUUGAACCUUGAGGCAGUCGGGUUACACAGCCUCAAUACAUCAGGUUUCACUUCUGUCAGCUAAAAACCGGAAUCUGAGGAAACAUUUGGCAACGACUCACCAAAGACAAAAAUUCUACAAAUUGUUUGUUCUCCACUGUUCAGUUUAUGUGAACCUGAUGUUCCUGUUUUGCUAAAAAUGGUCUAACAUCCAAAUAGUAUCUGUUCAGACAUGAUGGUGCUUUGCUGGAUGAACACAGUGAGACAGUGACCAUAAUGCAAAUGGUGUACAUUGGCAAAAUGAAUAUACUGCAAAUUACUUACAGUAAUUUGACCCUAAGUGUACUUUCAAGUAGUAUAUAGAACUGUACAAAUAAUUGAGCCAUCCAAGAAAGUUACACAAUAUGGCCAAAGUUUGUAUACACCUGACCAUAUGUGCUAGGAACAUUCCUUGCAAUAUUUAAUUCCCCAUUGAUGUUAUAAUAAUCUCAACUC